Molecule: non-coding RNA, 24 nt
Filed under: Arabidopsis thaliana (thale cress)
Lineage: Eukaryota; Viridiplantae; Streptophyta; Magnoliopsida; Brassicales; Brassicaceae
Source: RNAcentral
UGACUAACCUUCGUGUCUUGUGAU